Molecule: long non-coding RNA, 1102 nt
Organism: Neofelis nebulosa (Clouded leopard)
Lineage: Eukaryota; Metazoa; Chordata; Mammalia; Carnivora; Felidae
Exons: 3
Source: RefSeq, a predicted model, not a curated record
ACUGUUAUUCCCCAGGAGCGUGUGACGCUUGGGAAAGUUUUGCACGUCUAUUAAUAAUAAGCCACAUCGGGCUCCAUUUUCAGCACAGCUCACUAUAAUUCUUAUCAUGGCUCCCCGAGGCAGCCGAGGCUUUCAUGACCUGUGACGUCAUUCUGCACUACGUGUCUUUUCCGGGAGCGUAGUUCCGGCCUGUGCGUAGUUCCUGUGAUUUAUGCGCUGGGAAUCCUAACGGACAAGGAUUUGCCGGAAAUCGUCCUGCCCUUGCAGAUGCUAGACUGAAGGAUGCACUUUGGUUCCGGUUCGCGUGUACUAUUCCAUUACCCAGGACUCCACAGCCGCAGGCUUUUUUCCUAGUUGGCUUCCCCGAGUGAGAAGAAAACUUGUUACAUCUAAAGGCACCAAAGGGAGGAAGGUGGCCUAAUAUUGUGCAACUGAAAGCACCCCAAUCCGAACUGACAGGAUUUGGAGAGUAAUAUUUGAAGAUAAGGCUGGUGGGACCAAGAAGAGAGCUUGGCAAUCCACGUGUGCCAUGUAGAAGCUGCCGUCUGGCAUAGCAGAAAGGAAAACUGAGAGGAGGAACUGCAUUCAGCAAUUCUAAUCUGACCGAUGGAGCUUAUUAUACGAAUACUUAAUAGCAUUCCAAAUACCAACAUUUUCUGUAUACUUCUUCUUAAGAAAUAUUUGCUUAAAACACAAACACUGAGAAUUUUUACAUGAUUUAUUUAAUAAUAAACCAAUUAAAGAUACAAAACGUUUAGAGGCUUCCAAAAUUUAAAUUUUUGCUUAAAUACAAAUUCACUCUGUAAUAUGAAAACAUAGAACAAGAGACCUCUAAACAUGAUUUUUUUCAUCUACAAAAGUUUCUCCUUUGCUGUACUAGAAAAUUUGCAGAAAACAAUUUUUCUUGUGAAAUUAAAUGUACAUUAUUUACAGUUGAAAAGUAAUCUAAAAACUAUUUCAUUUCCGAGACUCAGAUAUAUAUGUAUAUUAUCUUUGUACGCAACCCCCCCAACUCCCAAUAAAAAAAUGAUCCAAAAUAUAAAGCAAUUAUGCUUUUAUAGCAACUGACUACUCAGCCAGAUGAGCCCAAGGUGUGGUUGCU